Non-coding RNA from Oryctolagus cuniculus (rabbit), 6854 nucleotides. NCBI's taxonomy places the organism in Eukaryota, Metazoa, Chordata, Mammalia, Lagomorpha, Leporidae. The record is from RefSeq and is a predicted model, not a curated record.
CUGGCGCCCAUAUGGGAUGCCAGCGCUUCAGGCCAUAGUGCCAGCCCCCAAUUUUAUUUAUUUAUGUGAGAGGUGGAGUCACAGAUGGAGAGAGGGAGAGACAGAGGAGUCUUUCAUCUACUGAUUCACUCCCUAAAUGGCUACAAUGUCCAAAACUGGGCCAAUCUGAAGCCAGGAACCAGGAGUUUCUUCCAGGUCUCCCACGUGGGUGCAAGGGCCCAAGAACUCGGGCCAUCUGCUGCUGCUUUCCCAGGCCAUAGCAGAGAGCUGGAUUGGACAAGGAGUAGCUGGGCCACGAACCACUGCCCAUUAGGGAUACCAGCACUGCAGGCAGAGGCUUAGCCUACUACCUCAUAGCGCCAGCCCCAAAUCAGUAACUUCUAAAAGUUUCAGUUAAUGGUGUUUACACAACUGAAAACUAUUGAGCUCAACUCGACAGCUGCUGUUCAGGAUUAAAGCAGUGGAGAUGGGGCCAGUGCUGUAGUGCUGUGGAUUAAAGCCCUGGCCUUCUGCGCCUAUGGGCACCAGUUCUAGUCCCAGCUGCUCCUCUUCUGAUCCAGUUCUCUGCUAUGGUCUGGGAAAGAUGCUAUGGUCUGGAAGAUGGCCCAAGUCCUUGGGCCCCUGCACCCACGUGGGAGACCUGGAAGAAGCUCUUGGCUCCUGGCUCCUGGCUUCAGAUCAGCGUAGCUCCAGCCGUUGUGGCCAUCUGGGGAACGAACCAGCAGAUGGAAGACACCCUCCCCCCCCACCUCUCCUUCUCUCUCUGUGUAACUUUGACUUUCAAGUAAAUAAAUAAAUCUUUUUUUUUAAAAAAAAACAGUGGAUAUACUUCAUAUCUACAUUUAAGCGAUAACUAAUAUAUUGAUUGUAUCCUUAAAAAUACUUUUUAAACAUUUAUUUAUUUAUUUGAAAUGUAGACUGACAAACAGAGAGGGAGAGGCAGACUGAGAGAGGUUCUCUUCCCAAAAGCCCACAACAGCUGGUGAUAGGCGAAGCUGAAACCAGGAGCCAGGAACUCCAUCUGGGUUUGCCACAUGUGGGCAGGAACCCAGGUACUUGGGCCAUCUUCUGCCGACUCCCGGGCAAACUAGCAGAAAACUGGAUCAGAAGCAUGGAGCAGCAGGGACUUAACCAAGGCAUUUUGCUAUGCCAUGCAGGGACCCCACGUGGUGGCUAAACAUACUGUGCCGCAAUACCCACCUCCUUAAAAAUAUUUUAUCCUGCCUUGUGAUCAUCCUUGAUGGUAUAUAACUUUCUUAAAUUUCAAAAAAAAUCAGCUAAUUUUUGUUUUGUGAAAGUACACACCUGUAUAAAACUAUGUAGGCAGGAUGUCUUGGUUGUUAUAGUUUGCAUUCCCAAAGGUCCCCACACCCAAAAGGGAGUGCCUACUGCACCAUUCAGUGGGUACCUGGUAAAUGCGCAAAGAGAAGGUCUCCAGCAUCCUCGGGGCAUGACAAACCCUCCCAGGGACAUGUCCGCGCUGAUCGCUUUGACACUUUGCUUUGGCAGAUUGGAACUUGUGUGUUUCCAGCAGGAGCAAUAUGACUCAACCGCUUAAAGGGAGGCCAGAAGAUUUCCAAAACUGAAACAAAAAGUCUCAUCUGCAGAAACAGAUCUACAGGAUAAUCUUUUGUUCUGAAACAGAAGAGGGAUGUCUUCAGAGAGCCAUGCGGGUGUGGCAUUCACAGCAAGAUCCCUCAGAUACAGCCAGUAGUGUGUCAUCUGCCCCAGGGAAGGAUCAGGCCUGAGUGCAAAUACCAGGCUGUGCCGUGUGGACGCUGGACAGUCCUGACAUCCAGUGAACGCUCUGGAAGGAUAUUAGGCUCACAUGCGAUCGUCUCUCUGCCGUCCUCCAGCCUCACGGGUUUCCUAGAUCAAAGAGGCUGCCCCACCUUGGACUGUGAACAUUCAAAAGAGAGCAAGAGAGAGAGACAGAGAGAGAUACAGAGAUCCUCCAUCCACUACUUCACUCCCCAAAUGCCUGCAACAGCCAGGAAUAGGCCAGGAGCCUGGAACCCAAUCUGGUCUCUCAUGUACGUGGUAGGGAGCCAGGAACUCAGGCUACGUCCUGCUGCGUCCUGGAGUGUGCACCAACAAGAAGGCAUAACGUAACGUCUUGGGAUCAGCCCUUGCUUCACCGAAAACCGUGGCAAAUGAAUCUCCUCGUACCUGAAGAUCAGGAAAGCAACAAGAAGGGAUGCGGUGAGUUAAAGUCAGCCCCUUCAGCGCCAUUCUCGGGAACAGAGGCGGUUGUGGGUCCAGGACACUUGACCACCCCAAGGGCAGGCAGCACAGCUGUGCCCCUCAGGCUCAUCAACGAGAUGACCAAGUACCCCAAGGACCAGGAGUCCAUGCUGGGUACCUCCAGACACAUGCUCCUUCCCUCUUUGCCCCUCAUGUCCAUCUUAACUCGACUGGAAGGAAGAAGGCAGCACACUUGGCAAAGGCAGUCUCCGGCCAGUUACAAAACCCAGUCACUAACUCGGUUUCUGAACUCACGCACGUGCAGUGUCGCGUUCUCCCUGCACAUGUCCGGCGCCUCCCUCUGGAACAGAAAGACGUCUACAGAGAUGCUGAGAACCCUGCAUCUAUGUAGCUCCGAGAGAAUGCAACAAGUCUCCAGAUCCCGUAAGCCCUCACCUGUUAAGAGGCCUGUUCAAACUCUCAUCAGAGCAGUUGUUGGUGAGUUUUGGAAACAGAGGACAAGUGUCUUUUCCUGAAGCCAUCCUGCUGGCAAUGGCAGAAUUCUCACCUAGGACGACACUCACUCACUCUGUGACCACGAUGCACUGCUUGUGACCAAACAAUGCUUCGCGGACUCCUUAGCAACCUCUGACAGAUGUAUUAGCAAUGAAGUUUCCAGCUGAGAGUUACUUUUUAAAAAAUUUCCUUUCUUGAGAAAAGCAUUAUCAUAAGCCAUUUAAAAAUUGAGUUAUGGGUGGGAAUAGUGGUGCAGUAGCGUGUCAGCACUUCUGAGACUGGCAUCUUUAAUCCCACGAAUCAUGGUUCCAGUCCUGGCUACUCUGCUUCUAACCCAGCUUCCUGCCAACCUAUCCUGAGAGGCCAUGGGUGAAACCAUACAUAUUUGGGCUGCUGCCACCCAUGUGGGAGACCUGGAUGGAGCUCCAGGCUCCUGGCUUUGGCCUGGCCCAGCCUGGGAUGUUGUGGCUCUUUCCGUCUCUCCCUCUCGGUAACUGUGUUUCAAAUAUUCUUUUAAAAAGAAAGUAUAAACCAAAUUUGCUAAAACAUAAGCUAUUUUAUUACCUUAGGCUUAUUACACUUUUUUAGAUUACAACUCAAAAAUGUUUUUAUUUCUACUUAUUUGAAAGGCAGAGUGAUACACACACCCACACAGGGCACUUCCAUUUGCUAGUUCAUUCUCCCAAAGCCCACAAUAGCCAGGGGUAGGCCAGGCCACGCAGGAGCCAGGAAUUCCAUCUGUUCUCCCCCCCCCGGGGGGGGGGGGGGGGGCAGGGCUCAAGCACGUGAGCCAUCACCUGCCGUCUCCCAGGGUGUUGUUGGGGGGAAGCUGGAUCAGAAGUGAAGGGGCUGGGAUUCCAGGAUGGAAUGUAGCAUCUCAAGCAGCCGCUUCACCCACUGUGCCACAACGCCAGCCCUCAAACUUUUUUUUUAUUUUUUUAAAGAAUUAUUUAUUUAUCGGAAAGAGUUCGAGAGAGAGAGAAGGAGAAGCAUGUGGUAGAAUGAGAAGGCCAUGCCAAGGUGGCCACUGGCAAGCGAGCGUCAGUUACUCAGGGAUGGCUUUGAAACUGCCUGGCAACAGGCUGUGAUUGGAUGGCUUUGGAAACUGCCUGGCAACAGGAUGUGAUUGGUUGGGGCAUAGACCGCCCCUUGACCAGAUUGGCUGGUCUUGGCUAUAUAAGAUGUGGUCAACUGAAAUAAAUGAGUCUGCGGGCUGCUGGCCUCAGGCCUGCUUUCACCCGACUCCUGGGGUCUGUGUGGUGACUCCGCGCCUCUUGCCCCCACCACGCUGCUCCUCUCAGAAACGAAUCCACUGCAACAGAAGCCGAAAAAGAGGGCUUCCAUCCACUGUUUCUCUCUCCAGAUGGCUACAGUGGCCGGAGCUGGGUCAAUCCGAAGCCAGGAGCCACAGCACUGGCCCCUCAAACUCCUUUUAGCAAAGAAAGAUCACUGGUGACGAUGAGCACUUCUGAGGGAAGACGGAGGAUGACAGCUGUAAAUCUGGUCGUCAGGAGGAAUCCUGCUAGGUGGGCAGAAAGAACUACUGUAAAAUACACUGGUGUGCAGAGUACUACCAGCAACACCUCUCAGGAGAGAGCUGGACACUUCCUAGACUUGGAUAACCAGAAUAUAGUGUGACAUUAAUGGGCGACCUUUUUAAAGAAAUAAACACCAAAGUGUUGUUUCUGUAUGACAGUUGGACGUGAUCCAAGACAGAAUCCGUGUGGUUUCCUAACAGUAAAGAAACAGCUGUUGAUGAAAAUGAACCACGAAGGUGGGCAAAAGGAGUCUUAAGACAAAGAAGCCUCAGGGCCGGCACCGUGGUAUAGUGGGUAAAGCUGCCUUCUGCAGUGCCGGGAUCCCAUAUGGGCGCCAGUUCGCGUCCCGGCUGCUCCACUUCCAGUCCAGCUCUGCUAUGGCCUGGGAAAGCAGUACAAGAUGGCUCAAGUCCUUGGGCUCUUACACCCACAUGGGAGACAUGGAAGAAGCUCCUGGCUUUGGAUCAGCUCAGCUCCAGUCAUUGUGGCCAAUUGAGGAGUGAACCAGCAGAUGAAAGACCUCUCUCUCUCCCUCUCUCUCUAACUCUUUCAAACAAAUAAAUGUUUAAAAAAAAAAAAAAGGAUAAAGCAGCCUCAAGCAUUGGUACCUUUCAGAAAUUGUAACUUCUGGGGCAAGUAUUUGGCCUGGUGGCUAAGACGCUGGUUAUCACAGGCGCCUGGGUGUGACACCUCCAUCCAGCUCCUGAUUCCAGCUUCCUGAGAAUGCGCUCUGGGCGGGCAGAGAUGAUGCCUCAGGUCGUUGGAUCUCUGUCACCCACGUGGAAGACCUGGAUUUUGCUCUUGGCCCCUGGCCUUGGCCCUGGCCCUGGCCCACUCCAGUCCUGGCUUUGGAGGCCAUUUGGGGGAAUGAAGCAGCAGAUGGGAGGUCUCUCAAAUACAUUGAAAAAAAUUAAAAACCCCAUAACUUUCAGUAGUAAAAUUAGUAAUAUUUGUAUCAAUAUGUAGCAUUUAAAUAUUCUGAAUGAUGAUUAUAUCUUUUAUAAUGUGUUAGCUAUUUAUUUAGAAAGAUUUAUUUAUUUGAAAGGCAGGACAGAGGAGAAAUGAUCUUCCAUCUGCUAGUUCACUCCCCAAAAGCCCACAGCAGCUCAGGUUGGGCCAGGCUGAAGCCAGGAGCCAGGAACUCCACCUGCAACUGCCCUGUGGCUGACGGGAACCCAAGCACCUGGGUCCUCUUCUGCCUCCUACCCGCAUCAGCAGGAAGCUGGAUUGGAAGCCAAGUCGCCAGGACUCAAACCAGCACCCUGACAGGGGAUGCAGGCAGCCCGAGCUGCAGCUUAACCAGCUGUAUGUACUGUCUUUAAAAUCCCUCUCAUAAGCAAUCUCAGAUACAAUACACAGUUACCUACUUACAACAUUAUUUCAGUAGUAGCAAUAUUCAUGUAAUUUUACUCUAAGGGCAGAGCUACAGAAAGGAGACAGAAAUUUCUGUUCACUGGUUCACUCCCCAAACAGCACAACUGGGAACUGGGCUAGGCCAAAGCCUAGAGCCAGAACUCCAUCCUGGUCUUCCAUGUGAGUGGCAGGGGCCCAGGCACUGGGUCAUCUUCUGCUGUCUUCCCGGCACAUUAGCGGGGAGCUGGAUGGGAAACAAAAAAACCAGCUGGGGCUUGAACUGGCACUCAUAUGGGAGGCAGGUGCUCCAGGCAGUGGCUUAGCACCGCAUGCCACAAGGCCUGCCCUGGUAAUAGCAGUUUUAUGAAAGAAGAGUUGAGUUUGAAAAUUAAAAAUGAAGUCACCUGAAGCUCAUUAAGGACUGUCAAAAACCCACUUUAUUUUCCAUUCUGUAUAAAUAAAAAGCAACCAAUAAGCAUAUUUCCCUUACAUUCAACUUCCAUGACCAAAUUUUCAGGAACUACUGAAAAAUUUCAAGUACACACUCUAUAAAGAACAGUCUAUAACUGCUGAAUUAUAUACAUUUUUGCUGCAUAUAUUAUACAUAUUUUUGUUUGAGAUACUUUAUAAACUAGCUACCUCUUGGAACAUACUAUGUAAACUAUCUUUACUGUCUUUUUAAAAUAAAAUUGAAAAUUUGAAACUUCAUGCAGAUGUGACAUUUUAAAUACCUACGUUCCUGAACACAAGCUAAGACUUAGGCAGGCCACCAGUGGGAAAUUUAAAAAUAUCCAUAGUAAUACAAAGGUAUGAAUCACAUUGGUAAUUAGUAAGAAGUCAAAAACAAAGAGUCAAUGCUUCUUUGAAAAGUUUCUGACAUUUAUUUACUUCUGGAUAAACAAAUAUGUGAGUGGAUCCAUCAGUCUAAACCUAUUUUUAGUCUCUAUUCUUCAAACUGCCUAAGAGUUCUGAGAAAACAAAAAAAAAUUUUUUUGAAUGCAUUAGGAACAGCUUACCAAUGUGUGUAUCCCAUCUGCAUUUUUAAUGGAAUGUUAAAAUCAAAACAUAAUUCACCAGAAAGAGAAAUCAGAAAAAGAAAACAAACAUUUGAAUGGCAUGUUAUAAUGACCUCCGCCCAGACCGAUUAUCAAUGAGUACUACUCGUAGUAGUUAGCACAUGCAACAGACUGAGAAAUUAGAUCUUGUGCUAUAUAAAGUUUUGUCAGGCACGAGCCAUUUGUAAAUGUUUCUGUCAAUCGCUUC